This 33-nucleotide non-coding RNA is filed under the name unclassified sequences. RNAcentral describes it as "S4-Bacteroidia ribosomal protein leader". It matches the Rfam family "S4-Bacteroidia ribosomal protein leader". The record is from RNAcentral.
GAUUACAUAAAUUUCUCUCUGUAAUCGCGGCUG